AUGGCUGGCUGUGUGGUCUCGACCUCCAACUCAUUCUCCACUUCUUCCUCCUCCCCUUUGAAAUCUGCAUCAGACUCGAUCUCUUGCUCCUCCCUUCUGCGCCGGAACCGAACCGUGGCUGGGCGUUUCGGCCAUGGCGCCUCGACCUCCACCUCCUCGUUGCCCAAUCCAUCCUCCUCCCCAUUGAACUCCUCGUCAGACUCGUCUUCCUGCUUCCCCGCCCUGCCCCGGGAGCGAGCCGUGGGCGCGCACCUCGGCGUCGGCGUCUCGAUCUCGAAGCCCUCGUCCUCCCCAUCCAACUCCGCGUCAGACUCUUCUUCCUGCUUCCUCGACCUGCCCCGGGAGCGAGCCGUCGGCGCACGCCUCGGCCGCGGCGUGUCGAUCUCGAAAUCCUCGUCCUCCUCCUCCUCGAAAUCCGCAUCGGAGUCGUCGUCGUCGUCGUCGUCGCGCGGCUUGGCCUUCCUGGCCCGUCGGCGAGGCUUGGGCCGCGGCGUCUCGAUCUCCUCCAACUCCUCCUCGAAAUCCGCAUCGGAUUCCUCCUGCUCCGACUCCUGCCUCCGCCUCCGCUUCCGGCCCCGGCCGCGAGCCCUGGCCGGCCGCCGCCUGGGCCGCGGCGCGUCGAUCUCGAAGUCCUCCUCCUCCUCCUCCUCGGAAUCGGCGUCGGAAUCGUCGUCGUCGUCCGACUUGGCCUUCUUCCUGCCCCGCCCGCGGGGCCUGGGGGGAGGCCUGGGAGGGCGCCUCGGCCGGUGCCGCGGCUUGUCGAUCUCGAAAUCCUCGUCGUCCUCCUCCUCCUCCUCCGCGUCCCCGUCGAAGUCGGCGUCAGAUUCGUCCUCGGCCUCCUCCUCGGAGGCGUCCUCGUCGGAGCACGCGGCCGCCGCGUACUCAACGUCAUCCUCCUCCUCCACCUCCUCCUCCUCGUCCUCGUCCACGACGUACUCGUCGUCGUCGUCGCCGCCCAUCUUCGCCCGCCGCAGGACCGCCCUCCCGCCGGCGACCAUAGACGGGCAGAUCCCUGCACGCACGCCACAAAUCCAAGUCAGUUGA
RNAcentral lists this ribosomal RNA (1044 nucleotides) under Triticum aestivum (bread wheat). RNAcentral describes it as "partial small subunit ribosomal RNA". The record is from RNAcentral. Lineage: Eukaryota; Viridiplantae; Streptophyta; Magnoliopsida; Poales; Poaceae.